UGAGACACGGCCCGAACUCCUACGGGAGGCAGCAGUGGGGAAUAUUGGACAAUGGGGGCAACCCUGAUCCAGCCAUGCCGCGUGUGUGAAGAAGGCCCCGGGUUGUAAAGCACUUUCAGCGAGGAAGAAUGCUUGUCGGUUAAUACCCGGCAAGGGAGACAUCACUCGCAGAAGAAGCACCGGCUAACUCCGUGCCAGCAGCCGCGGUAAUACGGAGGGUGCGAGCGUUAAUCGGAAUUACUGGGCGUAAAGCGUGCGUAGGCGGCUUGAUAAGCCGGUUGUGAAAGCCCCGGGCCAACCUGGGAACGGCAUCCGGAACUGUUAGGCUAGAGUGCAGGAGAGGAAGGUAGAAUUCCCGGUGUAGCGGUGAAAUGCGUAGAGAUCGGGAGGAAUACCAGUGGCGAAGGCGGCCUUCUGGACUGACACUGACGCUGAGGUACGAAAGCGUGGGUAGCAAACAGGAUUAGAUACCCUGGUAGUCCACGCCGUAAACGAUGUCGACUAGCCGUUGGGGUCCUCGAGACCUUUGUGGCGAGUUAACGCACUAAGUCGACCGCCUGGGGAGUACGGCCGCAAGGUUAAAACUCAAAUGAAUUGACGGGGGCCCGCACAAGCGGUGGAGCAUGUGGUUUAAUUGCGAUGCAACGCGAAGAACCUUACCUACCCUUGACAUCGUGCGAACUUUCCAGAGAUGGUUGGUGCCUUCGGGAGCGCACAGACAGGUGCUGCAUGGCUGUCGUCAGCUCGUGUUGUGAAAUGUUGGGUUAAGUCCCGUAACGAGCGCAACCCUUGUCCCUAUUUGCCAGCGAUUCGGUCGGGAACUCUAGGGAGACUGCCGGUGACAAACCGGAGGAAGGUGGGGACGACGUCAAGUCAUCAUGGCCCUUACGGGUAGGCCUACACACGUGCUACAAUGGCCGGUACAAUGGGUUGCAAAGCGGCGACGUGGAGCUAAUCUCAUAAAGCCGGUCUCAGUCCGGAUCGGAGUCUGCAACUCGACUCCGUGAAGUCGGAAUCGCUAGUAAUCGUGCAUCAGAAUGGCACGGUGAAUACGUUCCCGGGCCUUGUACACACCGCCCGUCACACCAUGGGAGUGGACUGCACCAGAAGUGGUUAGCCUAACUUCGGAGGGCGAUCACCACGGUGUGGU
RNAcentral lists this ribosomal RNA (1150 nucleotides) under Halomonas sp. Its description in RNAcentral is "bacterial SSU rRNA". It matches the Rfam family "Bacterial small subunit ribosomal RNA", at positions 320 to 1468 of the family's 1533-position model. Lineage: Bacteria; Pseudomonadati; Pseudomonadota; Gammaproteobacteria; Oceanospirillales; Halomonadaceae. The record is from RNAcentral.